AGUGAACGCUGGCGGUAGGCCUAACACAUGCAAGUCGAACGGCAGCACAGUAAGAGCUUGCUCUUACGGGUGGCGAGUGGCGGACGGGUGAGGAGUACAUCGGAAUCUACUUUUUCGUGGGGGAUAACGUAGGGAAACUUACGCUAAUACCGCAUACGACCUACGGGUGAAAGCAGGGGAUCUUCGGACCUUGCGCGAUUGAAUGAGCCGAUGUCGGAUUAGCUAGUUGGCGGGGUAAAGGCCCACCAAGGCGACGAUCCGUAGCUGGUCUGAGAGGAUGAUCAGCCACACUGGAACUGAGACACGGUCCAGACUCCUACGGGAGGCAGCAGUGGGGAAUAUUGGACAAUGGGCGCAAGCCUGAUCCAGCCAUACCGCGUGGGUGAAGAAGGCCCUCGGGUUGUAAAGCCCUUUUGUUGGGAAAGAAAAGCAGCAGGUUAAUACCCCGCUGUUCUGACGGUACCCAAAGAAUAAGCACCGGCUAACUUCGUG
This 492-nucleotide ribosomal RNA is filed under the name uncultured bacterium. RNAcentral describes it as "partial 16S ribosomal RNA". It matches the Rfam family "Bacterial small subunit ribosomal RNA", at positions 29 to 507 of the family's 1533-position model. The record is from RNAcentral.